This 150-nucleotide unclassified non-coding RNA is filed under the name soil metagenome. RNAcentral describes it as "partial internal transcribed spacer 1". The record is from RNAcentral.
UAAUAAGUGUUUUAUGGCACUUUUUAAAUCCAUAUCCACCUUGUGUGCAAUGUCAGUCGAUUCUUUCUUCAUGGAAGGAUCUGACCAAACAUCAACUUUAUCUAUUUAACACUUUGUCUGAAAACUAUUAUGAAUAAACAAUUCAAAAUA